GACGAACGCUGGCGGCGUGCUUAACACAUGCAAGUCGAACGGAAAGGCCCUGCUUUUGUGGGGUGCUCGAGUGGCGAACGGGUGAGUAACACGUGAGUAACCUGCCCUUGACUUUGGGAUAACUUCAGGAAACUGGGGCUAAUACCGGAUAGGAGCUCCUGCUGCAUGGUGGGGGUUGGAAAGUUUCGGCGGUUCGGGAUGGACUCGCGGCUUAUCAGCCUGUUGGUGGGGUAGUGGCUUACCACGGCUUUGACGGGUAGCCGGCCUGAGAGGGUGACCGGGCACAUUGCGACUGAGAGACGGACCAGAAUCCUACGGGAGGCAGCAGUGGGGAAUAUGGCAGAAUGGGCGGACGCGUGAUGCAGCAACGCCGCGUGCGGGAUGACGGCCUUCGGGUGGUAAACCGCUUUCGCAGGUGACGAAGAGGGCGUGACGGUAAUGGGUAAAGAAGCAACGGCUAACUACGUG
RNAcentral lists this ribosomal RNA (468 nucleotides) under uncultured bacterium. RNAcentral describes it as "partial 16S ribosomal RNA". It matches the Rfam family "Bacterial small subunit ribosomal RNA", at positions 28 to 507 of the family's 1533-position model. The record is from RNAcentral.